UACGGGGGGGGUAAGCGUUGUUCGGAAUUACUGGGCGUAAAGGGCUCGUAGGCGGCCAACUAAGUCAGACGUGAAAUCCCUCAGCUUAACUGGGGAACUGCGUCUGAUACUGGAUGGCUUGGAUUCGGGAGAGGAAUGCGGAAUUCCAGGUGUAGCGGUGAAAUGCGUAGAUAUCUGGAGGAACACCGGUGGCGAAGGCGGCAUCCUGGACCGACAUUGACGCUGAGGAGCGAAAGCCAGGGGAGCAAACGGG
Molecule: ribosomal RNA, 253 nt
Filed under: uncultured bacterium
Lineage: Bacteria
Description: partial 16S ribosomal RNA
Rfam family: Bacterial small subunit ribosomal RNA
Source: RNAcentral